GAUGUAGUAGCUUAGUGGUAGAGCGUGUGCUUAGCAUGCACAAGGUCCUGGGUUCUAUCCCCAGUACCUCC
Molecule: transfer RNA, 71 nt
Filed under: Camelus bactrianus (Bactrian camel)
Lineage: Eukaryota; Metazoa; Chordata; Mammalia; Artiodactyla; Camelidae
Also listed under: 2 other names
Rfam family: tRNA
About the family: Transfer RNA (tRNA) molecules are approximately 80 nucleotides in length. Their secondary structure includes four short double-helical elements and three loops (D, anti-codon, and T loops).
Source: Rfam by way of RNAcentral